UACGUAGGGUGCGAGCGUUGUCCGGAAUUAUUGGGCGUAAAGGGCUCGUAGGCGGUCUGUCGCGUCGGGAGUGAAAACUCAGGGCUUAACCCUGAGCCUGCUUCCGAUACGGGCAGACUAGAGGUAGGCAGGGGAGAACGGAAUUCCUGGUGUAGCGGUGAAAUGCGCAGAUAUCAGGAGGAACACCGGUGGCGAAGGCGGUUCUCUGGGCAUUACCUGACGCUGAGGAGCGAAAGUGUGGGGAGCGAACAGG
Molecule: ribosomal RNA, 253 nt
Filed under: uncultured bacterium
Lineage: Bacteria
Description: partial 16S ribosomal RNA
Rfam family: Bacterial small subunit ribosomal RNA
Source: RNAcentral